This 501-nucleotide ribosomal RNA is filed under the name uncultured bacterium. RNAcentral describes it as "partial 16S ribosomal RNA". It matches the Rfam family "Bacterial small subunit ribosomal RNA", at positions 30 to 523 of the family's 1533-position model. The record is from RNAcentral.
AUUGAACGCUGGCGGCAGGCUUAACACAUGCAAGUCGAGCGGGGAAAAGUAGCUUGCUACUGGACCUAGCGGCGGACGGGUGAGUAAUGCUUAGGAAUCUGCCUAUUAGUGGGGGACAACAUCUCGAAAGGGAUGCUAAUACCGCAUACGUCCUAUGGGAGAAAGCAGGGGACCUUCGGGCCUUGCGCUAAUAGAUGAGCCUAAGUCGGAUUAGCUAGUUGGUGGGGUAAAGGCCUACCAAGGCGACGAUCUGUAGCGGGUCUGAGAGGAUGAUCCGCCUCACUGGGACUGAGACACGGCCCAGACUCCUACGGGAGGCAGCAGUGGGGAAUAUUGGACAAUGGGGGGAACCCUGAUCCAGCCAUGCCGCGUGUGUGAAGAAGGCCUUUUGGUUGUAAAGCACUUUAAGCGAGGAGGAGGCUACCGAGAUUAAUACUCUUGGAUAGUGGACGUUACUCGCAGAAUAAGCACCGGCUAACUCUGUGCCAGCCGCCGCGGUAA